Molecule: ribosomal RNA, 279 nt
Filed under: uncultured bacterium
Lineage: Bacteria
Description: partial 16S ribosomal RNA
Rfam family: Bacterial small subunit ribosomal RNA
Source: RNAcentral
AACGAACGCUGGCGGCAGGCUUAACACAUGCAAGUCGAACGGGUGUAGCAAUACACCAGUGGCAGACGGGUGAGUAACACGUGGGAACCUUCCUCGUAGUACGGAACAACUCAGGGAAACUUGUGCUAAUACCGUAUACGUCCGAGAGGAGAAAGAUUUAUCGCUAUGAGACGGGCCCGCGUCGGAUUAGGUAGUUGGUGGGGUAACGGCCUACCAAGCCUACGAUCCGUAGCUGAUCUGAGAGGAUGAUCAGCCACACUGGGACUGAGACACGGCCCA